Long non-coding RNA from Centropristis striata (black sea bass), 339 nucleotides. RefSeq lists it as uncharacterized. Lineage: Eukaryota; Metazoa; Chordata; Actinopteri; Perciformes; Serranidae. The transcript is spliced from 2 exons. The record is from RefSeq and is a predicted model, not a curated record.
GAUUGUUUUAAGCCUUCUAUGCUUUACAAUGCUUUACUUUGGACUGCUUGCCUGUUGCAGACCAUGCCUGUCUCUGACUCUCCUGCUUCGUCGAUUCCCUGUGUCCUUUGGAGCAGGUGAGACAUCUCAGUACAUCAGGAGACAGCUGGAACAUCUGGAGUGAUGACUCAAGUUUUCCAAACAGACGUUGGGAACAAAUACAACUUCGGCUAUUAACACUGGAUUCCCAGCAUUUCUUCUUUGGAGUUUACAGCUUCAAGAUAAAAAAACAACUACUAACUAAUGUCUUAUUCGCUCCAGUGCAUCGUGGGAAAAAUAACUCCAAACAGGCGGUAUAAU